GCUCCAGUAGCUCAGUGGUAGAGCGCGCAAGUUGGGAAGUGACAAGCUUGACAUUUGCGAGUUCAAUCCCGACUCGGGGCG
Halocaridina rubra (Hawaiian volcano shrimp) is the source of this 81-nucleotide non-coding RNA. Lineage: Eukaryota; Metazoa; Arthropoda; Malacostraca; Decapoda; Atyidae. The record is from the annotation of a GenBank genome assembly.